RNAcentral lists this ribosomal RNA (284 nucleotides) under Roseburia faecis M72/1. RNAcentral's name for it is "partial 16S ribosomal RNA". It matches the Rfam family "Bacterial small subunit ribosomal RNA", at positions 493 to 776 of the family's 1533-position model. Lineage: Bacteria; Bacillati; Bacillota; Clostridia; Lachnospirales; Lachnospiraceae. The record is from RNAcentral.
UCUUUUCCUUUUGUGCCCGCCGCCGCGGUAAUACGUAUGGUGCAAGCGUUAUCCGGAUUUACUGGGUGUAAAGGGAGCGCAGGCGGUGCGGCAAGUCUGAUGUGAAAGCCCGGGGCUCAACCCCGGUACUGCAUUGGAAACUGUCGUACUAGAGUGUCGGAGGGGUAAGUGGAAUUCCUAGUGUAGCGGUGAAAUGCGUAGAUAUUAGGAGGAACACCAGUGGCGAAGGCGGCUUACUGGACGAUAACUGACGCUGAGGCUCGAAAGCGUGGGGAGCAAACAGG